RNAcentral lists this unclassified non-coding RNA (161 nucleotides) under uncultured Chalara. RNAcentral describes it as "sequence contains ITS1". Lineage: Eukaryota; Fungi; Ascomycota; Leotiomycetes; Helotiales. The record is from RNAcentral.
CAGAGUUCAUGCCCUAACGGGUAGACCUCCCACCCUUUGUUAUACCUACCUUUGUUGCUUUGGCAGGCCGCCUUCGGGCACUCGGCUCUCGCUGAGGUGCGCCUGCCAGAGGACCCAAAAACUCUGAAUGUUAAUGUCGUCUGAGUACUAUAUAAUAGUUA